GAUGAACGCUAGCGGGAGGCUUAACACAUGCAAGUCGAGGGGCAGCAUAGGGUAGCAAUACUCUGAUGGCGACCGGCAAACGGGUGAGUAACGCGUAUGCAACCUACCCUGUACAGGGGGAUAACCCGGAGAAAUUCGGACUAAUAUCCCGUAAUAAUAUCCGGAGGCAUCUUUGGAUAUUUAAAGUUUCGACGGUACGGGAUGGGCAUGCGUAACAUUAGCUGGUUGGUAAGGUAACGGCUUACCAAGGCUAUGAUGUUUAGGGGUCCUGAGAGGGUGGUCCCCCACACUGGUACUGAGACACGGACCAGACUCCUACGGGAGGCAGCAGUGAGGAAUAUUGGUCAAUGGGCGCAAGCCUGAACCAGCCAUCCCGCGUGCAGGAAGACGGCCCUAUGGGUUGUAAACUGCUUUUCCAGGGAGAGAAACUUACGCACGUGUUGCGUGACUGACGGUACCCUGGGAAUAAGCAUCGGCUAACUCCGUGCCAGCAGCCGCGGUAAUAGUGUGUG
RNAcentral lists this ribosomal RNA (512 nucleotides) under uncultured bacterium. Its description in RNAcentral is "bacterial SSU rRNA". It matches the Rfam family "Bacterial small subunit ribosomal RNA", at positions 28 to 534 of the family's 1533-position model. The record is from RNAcentral.